Molecule: long non-coding RNA, 323 nt
Filed under: Lathyrus oleraceus (garden pea)
Lineage: Eukaryota; Viridiplantae; Streptophyta; Magnoliopsida; Fabales; Fabaceae
Description: Pisum sativum (pea) long non-coding RNA (PSAT_LNC019449)
Source: RNAcentral
AAGCAUGGUCUCGCGACCAAAGAGAAAGGGUAAGGGAGUCGGUUACGCAAGGGGAAGGUAUUAGCACCCCUCACGUCCGUCGUACUCGACGGGAUCCACGUUCUAAAAGAAAGAAAAGGUUGCUAAAACAUCACACACACACACAAGGAACGCAGGUGGGGUUAAGAGGAAGGGAGCUCGAUAGGACAUCGCAUCCUAUGCCUACAUAUCUCGUCUGGAACGAGAAUCAGAGCUGCUGUAGUUCGGCUCACGCACGCCAAACAACACACGCACCCAAACAGGCAAACAUGGAGCCUGAAUGCCAAUCACUAGGCUUACAUCAG